This 1292-nucleotide long non-coding RNA is filed under the name Ananas comosus (pineapple). RNAcentral describes it as "long non-coding RNA (ACOM_LNC000694)". The record is from RNAcentral. Lineage: Eukaryota; Viridiplantae; Streptophyta; Magnoliopsida; Poales; Bromeliaceae.
UCUUUCAUCUCUUUUCAUCGUAAUUGACUUCACCCUACAGUCGGUUGAAGUCAAUUGUACUGUUUUGGAUAACUUGUGUUUUGUCGGUAUUUUUAUUAUGGUAAACCAAACAGUAGAAGUGGUUGUGUACGGCCAAAAACGACUUCACUCAACUCCACUUUUAUCGCAAAAAAAAAAAAACUAAGAGGGCUUUUGGAUCGACGAAUUUCUAAAUCUAAUGUAACUGAAGUGCAGUAGUGUUUGUGUUUUCUUAAAGUGUGAUUUUUUUUUUAUUUGUUUGGACAUAACUCGUACAGUUUAAAAGUUAAAUUCAAUCAUUUCUUCUGUUUAUUUUAGUAUAAUUUGAUGCUUGUGAAAUUAGAUUUUUAGCUUCAUUGUUUGUUUUGAUGUAAGUAAAUAGAUCAUGUUACCUCCGAAAUGUAGUGAUAAACUUACACUUAUAAAAUCCAAUUUAAGAACUAAAUCUCUCAUUAUUAUUUGGAAGUAAUAUUAACCCAUUGUAGAAAAAAAAAAGUAAAUCUAACCCAUUCAAAAGGAAGUAGAAUUUAGGUUUUAAUAUUUAAUAAAUUUUUUUAGAGAAAGUUAAGUGCGGUGGAACUUGAGUUUGAUACUUUAGAAGGAAAAGUCAAAAGUAGGUGAAGCGGAGGCUUAAACAUAACUUAAGUUAAAUUAUUUUUUUGACUUACAAUAAAAUAAAUACCAUAAGUUAUAGAACUUGAGUUCCAUCUCUCCACUUACACCAUCCUUAAAUGUAUUAGGGGGUUGUUUGAUUCAACAUAAUUAUAAAUACAAUAUAGUUAGAUGUGUAUAUAGUUGGAAAUGCAAUAAUUAUAAUUAUAUGCAUCUUAUUUGGUUAAAUCUAGUAGAAAGCGUUGCAAAUAUAAAUACUUCUUUUCGUUGCAUGCGCUUGAGAAGUGUAUUUACGAAUUUAUACCAUUUUAUAUAUAGGGUGGUGGGAUAAACCCUAUGGUGGAAAAGAAAAAAAAAAAUUUAAAAAGUCAUUAGGGAGGUAAAUUUACCUUUGUUUAAAAUUACUGUCUUCAAAUUCUGUAGUUAGAAUUGCGGCGAAUAUAGGCAUAGUUCCAAUUACUACAGUUGAGACUCAUCAUGCAGUUGUAACUACAACAAUUAAAAUCAAAUACAUUAAAAAAAACAUCGAAUUUGGAUUUAUAUGCAGUUAAAACUUAAGUAUAAUAAUAACUAUAUGCAACCAACCAAUUUCUAAAUAAAAGAAUAAUACUGCUUGUACAUACCAUUUAACGAUGUACAUUGUACAUCACUUCAAUUCAAGA